Molecule: ribosomal RNA, 506 nt
Filed under: Nakaseomyces glabratus
Lineage: Eukaryota; Fungi; Ascomycota; Saccharomycetes; Saccharomycetales; Saccharomycetaceae
Description: LSU rRNA
Rfam family: Eukaryotic large subunit ribosomal RNA
Source: RNAcentral
GAAACCAACUGGGAUUGCCUUAGUAACGGCGAGUGAAGCGGCAAAAGCUCAAAUUUGAAAUCUGGUACCUUUGGUGCCCGAGUUGUAAUUUGGAGAGUACCACUUUGGGACUGUACUUUGCCUAUGUUCCUUGGAACAGGACGUCAUGGAGGGUGAGAAUCCCGUGUGGCGAGGGUGUCAGUUCUUUGUAAAGGGUGCUCGAAGAGUCGAGUUGUUUGGGAAUGCAGCUCUAAGUGGGUGGUAAAUUCCAUCUAAAGCUAAAUACAGGCGAGAGACCGAUAGCGAACAAGUACAGUGAUGGAAAGAUGAAAAGAACUUUGAAAAGAGAGUGAAAAAGUACGUGAAAUUGUUGAAAGGGAAGGGCAUUUGAUCAGACAUGGUGUUUUGCGCCCCUUGCCUCUCGUGGGCUUGGGACUCUCGCAGCUCACUGGGCCAGCAUCGGUUUUGGCGGCCGGAAAAAACCUAGGGAAUGUGGCUCUGCGCCUCGGUGUAGAGUGUUAUAGCCC